CACGUAGGCGGUUUGUCGCGUCGGGAGUGAAAACUUACAGCUUAACUGUGAGCGUGCUUUCGAUACGGGCAGACUUGAGGUAUGCAGGGGAGAACGGAAUUCCUGGUGUAGCGGUGAAAUGCGCAGAUAUCAGGAGGAACACCGGUGGCGAAGGCGGUUCUCUGGGCAUGACCUGACGCUGAGGAGCGAAAGUGUGGGGAGCGAACA
This 207-nucleotide ribosomal RNA is filed under the name uncultured bacterium. Its description in RNAcentral is "partial 16S ribosomal RNA". It matches the Rfam family "Bacterial small subunit ribosomal RNA", at positions 568 to 774 of the family's 1533-position model. The record is from RNAcentral.